GGCGGAUCCCUGAUGUGUUUUGCUGUUUUCUCUCCUCAGGGCAACGCCGCGAACGACGGACCACCCGGCCCGCCUGGAGAGAGGGGACCCAACGGACCUCAGGGACCUGUCGGCUUCCCUGGGCCUAAAGGACCCAACGGCCCAGCGGGAAAAGACGGGCUGCCCGGACAUCCCGGACAGAGAGGAGAGACUGUGAGUAAAAUAGUCCACAAUGUGUCAGUCAUUCAAAAGAGUAGCCAUGUAUAAUAUCAGAAU
This 255-nucleotide long non-coding RNA is filed under the name Neogobius melanostomus (round goby). RNAcentral describes it as "lncRNA (ENSNMLG00000022863.1)". The record is from RNAcentral. Lineage: Eukaryota; Metazoa; Chordata; Actinopteri; Gobiiformes; Gobiidae.